UGCGCAGGCGGGCUAUUAAGUCAGUGGUGAAAUCUCUCGGCUCAACCGAGAAACUGCCAUUGAAACUGAUAGUCUUGAGUAUAGUUGUAGUAGGCGGAAUAUAGCAUGUAGCGGUGAAAUGCUUAGAUAUGCUAUAGAACACCGAUCGCGAAGGCAGCUUACUAAACUAUUACUGACGCUCAUGCACGAAAGCGUGGGGAGCAAACAGGAUUAGAUACCCUGGUAGUC
RNAcentral lists this ribosomal RNA (228 nucleotides) under uncultured bacterium. RNAcentral describes it as "partial 16S ribosomal RNA". It matches the Rfam family "Bacterial small subunit ribosomal RNA", at positions 568 to 795 of the family's 1533-position model. The record is from RNAcentral.